This 492-nucleotide ribosomal RNA is filed under the name uncultured bacterium. RNAcentral describes it as "partial 16S ribosomal RNA". It matches the Rfam family "Bacterial small subunit ribosomal RNA", at positions 29 to 507 of the family's 1533-position model. The record is from RNAcentral.
AGUGAACGCUGGCGGUAGGCCUAACACAUGCAAGUCGAACGGCAGCACAGUAAGAGCUUGCUCUUACGGGUGGCGAGUGGCGGACGGGUGAGGAAUACAUCGGAAUCUACUUUUUCGUGGGGGUUAACGUAGGGAAACUUACGCUAAUACCGCAUACGACCUACGGGUGAAAGCAGGGGAUCUUCGGACCUUGCGCGAUUGAAUGAGCCGAUGUCGGAUUAGCUAGUUGGCGGGGUAAAGGCCCACCAAGGCGACGAUCCGUAGCUGGUCUGAGAGGAUGAUCAGCCACACUGGAACUGAGACACGGUCCAGACUCCUACGGGAGGCAGCAGUGGGGAAUAUUGGACAAUGGGCGCAAGCCUGAUCCAGCCAUACCGCGUGUAUGAAGAAGGCCUUCGGGUUGUAAAACCCUUUUGUUGGGAAAAAAAAGCAGCAGGUUAAUACCCCGCUGUUCUGACGGUACCCAAAGAAUAAGCACCGGCUAACUUCGUG